CUGCAUGGCUGUCGUCAGCUCGUGUCGUGAGAUGUUGGGUUAAGUCCCGCAACGAGCGCAACCCUUGCCUUUAGUUGCCAGCAGUUCGGCUGGGCGACUCUAAAGGGACUGCCGGUGUUAAACCGGAGGAAGGUGGGGAUGACGUCAAGUCCUCAUGGCCUUUAUGACCAGGGCUACACACGUACUACAAUGGCCGAUACAAAGGGCAGCGACACUGCGAGGUGAAGCCAAUCCCGUAAAAUCGGUCUCAGUCCGGAUUGGAGUCUGCAACUCGACUCCAUGAAGUUGGAAUCGCUAGUAAUCGUGGAUCAGCAUGCCACGGUGAAUACGUUCCCGGGCCUU
Molecule: ribosomal RNA, 342 nt
Filed under: uncultured Desulfobulbus sp.
Lineage: Bacteria; Pseudomonadati; Thermodesulfobacteriota; Desulfobulbia; Desulfobulbales; Desulfobulbaceae
Description: bacterial SSU rRNA
Rfam family: Bacterial small subunit ribosomal RNA
Source: RNAcentral